Molecule: ribosomal RNA, 567 nt
Filed under: uncultured bacterium
Lineage: Bacteria
Description: partial 16S ribosomal RNA
Rfam family: Bacterial small subunit ribosomal RNA
Source: RNAcentral
UGGGGAAUUUUGGACAAUGGGCGAAAGCCUGAUCCAGCAAUGCCGCGUGUGUGAAGAAGGCCUUCGGGUUGUAAAGCACUUUUGUCCGGAAAGAAAUCCUUGGCUCUAAUGCAGUCGGGGGAUGACGGUACCGGAAGAAUAAGCACCGGCUAACUACGUGCCAGCAGCCGCGGUAAUACGUAGGGUGCAAGCGUUAAUCGGAAUUACUGGGCGUAAAGCGUGCGCAGGCGGUUUGCUAAGACCGAUGUGAAAUCCCCGGGCUCAACCUGGGAACUGCAUUGGUGACUGGCAGGCUAGAGUAUGGCAGAGGGGGGUAGAAUUCCACGUGUAGCAGUGAAAUGCGUAGAGAUGUGGAGGAAUACCGAUGGCGAAGGCAGCCCCCUGGGCCAAUACUGACGCUCAUGCACGAAAGCGUGGGGAGCAAACAGGAUUAGAUACCCUGGUAGUCCAGCGCCCUAAACGAUGUCAACUAGUUGUUGGGGAUUCAUUUCCUUAGUAACGUAGCUAACGCGUGAAGUUGACCGCCUGGGGAGUACGGUCGCAAGAUUAAAACUCAAAGGAAUUGAC